AAUUACCCUGACUGACUUAUUCUGGGACUCUGCAGGUACUAUGCUUAUCUUAGUUCGCCUUCCAGAGAAUGUAACACACCUCUACCACCAUUGGGAAACAGCUAUUCCACACAUAUCUCUCACCAGAUCCCUCAACACCUCAUGGAAAGACUUAGGCCCGAUGGCCAGAACCUGGAACCAAAUGACUCAAGAACAACUGACUUCUACGGGGAUCAAUAAA
Pelobates cultripes (western spadefoot toad) is the source of this 220-nucleotide non-coding RNA. The record is from the annotation of a GenBank genome assembly. Lineage: Eukaryota; Metazoa; Chordata; Amphibia; Anura; Pelobatidae.